Molecule: ribosomal RNA, 253 nt
Filed under: uncultured bacterium
Lineage: Bacteria
Description: partial 16S ribosomal RNA
Rfam family: Bacterial small subunit ribosomal RNA
Source: RNAcentral
GACGAACCUUCCAAACGUUAUUCGGAAUCACUGGGCUUAAAGGGUGCGUAGGCGGAGAGGCAAGUCAGAGGUGAAAGCCCACGACUCAACCGUGGAAGUGCCCCUGAAACGGCCUCUCUCGAGGGAGAUAGGGGCGUGCGGAACUCAGAGUGGAGCGGUGAAAUGCGUAGAUAUUCUGAGGAACACAGGUGGCGAAAGCGGCACGCUGGGUCUUUUCUGACGCUGAGGCACGAAAGCUAGGGGAGCAAACGGG